CACAAAUAUCCGCCCGGGUACUAAGAACGUAAGUUUGAAACCCAAAGGACUUGGCGGCGCUUAACAUCCACCUAGAGGAGCCUGUUCUAUAACCGAUAACCCCCGUUCAACCUCACCCUCUCUGGCCUUUAGCCGCCUAUAUACCACCGUCGUCAGCUUACCCUGCAAAGGUUUAACAGUAAACAAAACUAGCAUUGCUCAAAACGUCAGGUCGAGGUGUAGCACAUGAGAGGGGAAGAAAUGGGCUACAUUCGCUACUCCUUAGCGAACACGGAUAACCACGUUGAAAGAGCGUACAUGAAGGAGGAUUUAGAAGUAAGCAAAAAACAGAGUGUUUUGCUGAAACUCGGCACUAAAGCGCGCACACACCGCCCCGUCACCCUCACACUAAAC
Molecule: ribosomal RNA, 393 nt
Filed under: Microchirus variegatus (thickback sole)
Lineage: Eukaryota; Metazoa; Chordata; Actinopteri; Pleuronectiformes; Soleidae
Description: partial 12S small subunit ribosomal RNA
Rfam family: Bacterial small subunit ribosomal RNA
Source: RNAcentral